CACAGAGUUAGUCGCCACUUCCUCUGGGGUAGAUCAGAACUUUCUUACCCCUGACAGUGGUUUACAUCCCGAAGGACUUCAUCCCACACGCGGCGUCGCUCCAUCACACUUUCGUGCAUUGUGGAAGAUUCGUUACUGCAGCCCCCCGUAGGAGUCCGGACAGUGUCUCAGUUCCGAUGUGGCCGACCGACCUCUCAGUCCGGCUACGCGUCAUUGCCUUGGUAAGCCGUUACCUUACCAACUAGCUGAUACGAUAUAGCCCGAUCCUAGACCAAUUGCUCGUUGAGCUCCGUGCCAUGCGACACAGAGAUAUCAUCUGGUAUUACCCAACCUUUCGGUUGGCUAUCCCAGAGUCCAGGGUACGUUAGCUAUAUAUUACUCACCCGUGCGCCACUAAUGUAUUGCUACAUCCGUGCGACUUGCAUGUCUUAGCCACGCCGCCAGCGUUCAGGCUGAGCCAGGAUCAAACUCU
RNAcentral lists this ribosomal RNA (472 nucleotides) under uncultured bacterium. Its description in RNAcentral is "partial 16S ribosomal RNA". The record is from RNAcentral.